Molecule: ribosomal RNA, 460 nt
Filed under: uncultured bacterium
Lineage: Bacteria
Description: partial 16S ribosomal RNA
Rfam family: Bacterial small subunit ribosomal RNA
Source: RNAcentral
CCUACGGGAGGCAGCAGUGAGGAAUAUUGGUCAAUGGCCGUAAGGCUGAACCAGCCAAGUCGCGUGAAGGAAGAAGGAUCUAUGGUUUGUAAACUUCUUUUAUAGGGGAAUAAAGGUAUCCACGUGUGGAUAUUUGCAUGUACCCUAUGAAUAAGCAUCGGCUAACUCCGUGCCAGCAGCCGCGGUAAUACGGAGGAUGCGAGCGUUGUCCGGAUUUAUUGGGUUUAAAGGGUGCGUAGGUUGUUUUUUAAGUCAGCGGUGAAAGUUUGUGGCCCAACCAUAAAAUUGCAGUUGAAACUGGAAGACUUGAGUGUGUUUGAGGUAGGCGGAAUGCGUGGUGUAGCGGUGAAAUGCAUAGAUAUCACGCAGAACUCCGAUUGCGAAGGCAGCUUACUAAGCCAUAACUGACACUGAAGCACGAAAGCGUGGGGAGCAAACAGGAUUAGAUACCCUGGUAGUC